UACGGGGGGGGCAAGCGUUGUUCGGAAUUACUGGGCGUAAAGGGCUCGUAGGCGGCCAACUAAGUCGGAUGUGAAAUCCCCAGGCUCAACCUGGGAACUGCAUCCGAUACUGGAUGGCUUGAAUCCGGGAGAGGGAUGCAGAAUUCCAGGUGUAGCGGUGAAAUGCGUAGAUAUCUGGAGGAACACCGGCGGCGAAAGCGCGAGACUGGGCCAUAACUGACGCUGAGGAACGAAAGCCAGGGGAGCGAAAGGG
This 253-nucleotide ribosomal RNA is filed under the name uncultured bacterium. RNAcentral describes it as "partial 16S ribosomal RNA". It matches the Rfam family "Bacterial small subunit ribosomal RNA", at positions 524 to 776 of the family's 1533-position model. The record is from RNAcentral.